Molecule: ribosomal RNA, 468 nt
Filed under: uncultured bacterium
Lineage: Bacteria
Description: partial 16S ribosomal RNA
Rfam family: Bacterial small subunit ribosomal RNA
Source: RNAcentral
GACGAACGCUGGCGGCGUGCUUAACACAUGCAAGUCGAACGGAAAGGCCCUGCUUUUGUGGGGUGCUCGAGUGGCGAACGGGUGAGUAACACGUGAGUAACCUGCCCUUGACUUUGGGAUAACUUCAGGAAACUGGGGCUAAUACCGGAUAGGAGCUCCUGCUGCAUGGUGGGGGUUGGAAAGUUUCGGCGGUUGGGGAUGGACUCGCGGCUUAUCAGCUUGUUGGUGGGGUAGUGGCUUACCAAGGCUUUGACGGGUAGCCGGCCUGAGAGUGUGACCGGCCACAUUGGGACUGAGAGACGGCCCAGACUCCUACGGGAGGCAGCAGUGGGGAAUAUUGCACAAUGGGCGGAAGCCUGAUGCAGCAACGCAGCGUGAGGGAUGACGGCCUUCGGGUUGUAAACCGCUUUCGCCUGUGACGAAGCGUGAGUGACGGUAAUGGGUAAAGAAGCACCGGCUAACUACGUG